RNAcentral lists this microRNA precursor (103 nucleotides) under Paramuricea clavata. Lineage: Eukaryota; Metazoa; Cnidaria; Anthozoa; Malacalcyonacea; Plexauridae. The record is from RNAcentral.
CACGAGCAAGUUUGGUGUUUAUGACGUCGAUAUUCGACGUCAUAAACACGAGCAAGUUUGGAGUUUAUGACGUCGAAUAUCGACGUCAUAAACACCAUCAAGU